UACGUAGGUGGCAAGCGUUGUCCGGAUUUAUUGGGCGUAAAGCGAGCGCAGGCGGUUCAUUAAGUCUGAUGUGAAACGCCCACGGCUCAACCGUGGAAGGUCAUUGGAAACGUGGGGAACUUGAGUGCAGAAGAGGAGAGUGGAAUUCCAUGUGUAGCGGUGAAAUGCGUAGAUAUAUGGAGGAACACCAGUGGCGAAGGCGACUCUCUGGUCUGUAACUGACGCUGAGGCUCGAAAGCGUGGGGAGCAAACAGGAUUA
RNAcentral lists this ribosomal RNA (259 nucleotides) under uncultured prokaryote. RNAcentral's name for it is "partial 16S ribosomal RNA". It matches the Rfam family "Bacterial small subunit ribosomal RNA", at positions 524 to 780 of the family's 1533-position model. The record is from RNAcentral.